CCUACGUGAGACAGCAGUGGGGAAUAUUGGACAAUGGGGGGAACCCUGAUCCAGCGACGCCGCGUGAGUGAAGAAGUAUUUCGGUAUGUAAAGCUCUAUCAGCAGGGAAGAAAGAAAUGACGGUACCUGACUAAGAAGCCCCGGCUAACUACGUGCCAGCAGCCGCGGUAAUACGUAGGGGGCAAGCGUUAUCCGGAUUUACUGGGUGUAAAGGGAGCGUAGACGGCGAUGCAAGUCUGAAGUGAAAGGCGGGGGCCCAACCCCUGGACUGCUUUGGAAACUGUAUGGCUGGAGUGCAGGAGAGGUAAGUGGAAUUCCUAGUGUAGCGGUGAAAUGCGUAGAUAUUAGGAGGAACACCAGUGGCGAAGGCGGCUUACUGGACUGUAACUGACGUUGAGGCUCGAAAGCGUGGGGAGCAAACAGGAUUAGAUACCCCGGUAGUC
RNAcentral lists this ribosomal RNA (443 nucleotides) under uncultured bacterium. RNAcentral describes it as "partial 16S ribosomal RNA". It matches the Rfam family "Bacterial small subunit ribosomal RNA", at positions 338 to 795 of the family's 1533-position model. The record is from RNAcentral.